UGGGGAAUAUUGGACAAUGGGCGCAAGCCUGAUCCAGCCAUGCCGCGUGAGUGAUGAAGGCCCUAGGGUUGUAAAGCUCUUUCACCGGUGAAGAUAAUGACGGUAACCGGAGAAGAAGCCCCGGCUAACUUCGUGCCAGCAGCCGCGGUAAUACGAAGGGGGCUAGCGUUGUUCGGAUUUACUGGGCGUAAAGCGCACGUAGGCGGACUAUUAAGUCAGGGGUGAAAUCCCGGGGCUCAACCCCGGAACUGCCUUUGAUACUGGUAGUCUUGAGUUCGAGAGAGGUGAGUGGAAGUCCGGGUGUAGAGGUGAAAUUCGUAGAUAUUCGGAGGAACACCAGUGGCGAAGGCGGCUCACUGGCUCGAUACUGACGCUGAGGUGCGAAAGCGUGGGGAGCAAACAGG
RNAcentral lists this ribosomal RNA (404 nucleotides) under Verrucomicrobiota bacterium. RNAcentral's name for it is "Verrucomicrobia bacterium partial 16S ribosomal RNA". It matches the Rfam family "Bacterial small subunit ribosomal RNA", at positions 355 to 776 of the family's 1533-position model. Lineage: Bacteria; Pseudomonadati; Verrucomicrobiota. The record is from RNAcentral.